This 75-nucleotide transfer RNA is filed under the name Candidatus Saccharicenans sp. RNAcentral describes it as "tRNA-Gly". It matches the Rfam family "tRNA". Rfam says of the family: Transfer RNA (tRNA) molecules are approximately 80 nucleotides in length. Their secondary structure includes four short double-helical elements and three loops (D, anti-codon, and T loops). Further hydrogen bonds mediate the characteristic L-shaped molecular structure. tRNAs have two regions of fundamental functional importance: the anti-codon, which is responsible for specific mRNA codon recognition, and the 3' end, to which the tRNAs corresponding amino acid is attached (by aminoacyl-tRNA synthetases). tRNAs cope with the degeneracy of the genetic code in two manners: having more than one tRNA (with a specific anti-codon) for a particular amino acid; and 'wobble' base-pairing, i.e. permitting non-standard base-pairing at the 3rd anti-codon position. Lineage: Bacteria; Candidatus Aminicenantota; Candidatus Aminicenantia; Candidatus Aminicenantales; Candidatus Saccharicenantaceae. The record is from RNAcentral.
GCGGGCGUAGUUCAGUGGUAGAAUGUCUGCUUGCCAAGCAGAAGGUCGUGGGUUCAAGUCCCAUCGCCCGCUCCA